This 1598-nucleotide ribosomal RNA is filed under the name Salmonella enterica. Its description in RNAcentral is "partial 23S ribosomal RNA". It matches the Rfam family "Bacterial large subunit ribosomal RNA", at positions 1223 to 2803 of the family's 2925-position model. Lineage: Bacteria; Pseudomonadati; Pseudomonadota; Gammaproteobacteria; Enterobacterales; Enterobacteriaceae. The record is from RNAcentral.
GUUGGGUAGGGGAGCGUUCUGUAAGCCUGUGAAGGUGGCCUGUGAGGGUUGCUGGAGGUAUCAGAAGUGCGAAUGCUGACAUAAGUAACGAUAAAGCGGGUGAAAAGCCCGCUCGCCGGAAGACCAAGGGUUCCUGUCCAACGUUAAUCGGGGCAGGGUGAGUCGACCCCUAAGGCGAGGCCGAAAGGCGUAGUCGAUGGGAAACGGGUUAAUAUUCCCGUACUUGGUGUUACUGCGAAGGGGGGACGGAGAAGGCUAUGUUGGCCGGGCGACGGUUGUCCCGGUUUAAGCGUGUAGGUGUGUGUUCCAGGUAAAUCCGGUUCACUUUAACACUGAGGCGUGACGACGAGGCACUACGGUGCUGAAGCAACAAAUGCCCUGCUUCCAGGAAAAGCCUCUAAGCAUCAGGUAACAUCAAAUCGUACCCCAAACCGACACAGGUGGUCAGGUAGAGAAUACCAAGGCGCUUGAGAGAACUCGGGUGAAGGAACUAGGCAAAAUGGUGCCGUAACUUCGGGAGAAGGCACGCUGACACGUAGGUGAAGUGAUUUACUCACGGAGCUGAAGUCAGUCGAAGAUACCAGCUGGCUGCAACUGUUUAUUAAAAACACAGCACUGUGCAAACACGAAAGUGGACGUAUACGGUGUGACGCCUGCCCGGUGCCGGAAGGUUAAUUGAUGGGGUCAGCGCAAGCGAAGCUCCUGAUCGAAGCCCCGGUAAACGGCGGCCGUAACUAUAACGGUCCUAAGGUAGCGAAAUUCCUUGUCGGGUAAGUUCCGACCUGCACGAAUGGCGUAAUGAUGGCCAGGCUGUCUCCACCCGAGACUCAGUGAAAUUGAACUCGCUGUGAAGAUGCAGUGUACCCGCGGCAAGACGGAAAGACCCCGUGAACCUUUACUAUAGCUUGACACUGAACAUUGAGCCUUGAUGUGUAGGAUAGGUGGGAGGCUUUGAAGCGUGGACGCCAGUCUGCGUGGAGCCGACCUUGAAAUACCACCCUUUAAUGUUUGAUGUUCUAACGUGGACCCGUGAUCCGGGUUGCGGACAGUGUCUGGUGGGUAGUUUGACUGGGGCGGUCUCCUCCUAAAGAGUAACGGAGGAGCACGAAGGUUGGCUAAUCCUGGUCGGACAUCAGGAGGUUAGUGCAAUGGCAUAAGCCAGCUUGACUGCGAGCGUGACGGCGCGAGCAGGUGCGAAAGCAGGUCAUAGUGAUCCGGUGGUUCUGAAUGGAAGGGCCAUCGCUCAACGGAUAAAAGGUACUCCGGGGAUAACAGGCUGAUACCGCCCAAGAGUUCAUAUCGACGGCGGUGUUUGGCACCUCGAUGUCGGCUCAUCACAUCCUGGGGCUGAAGUAGGUCCCAAGGGUAUGGCUGUUCGCCAUUUAAAGUGGUACGCGAGCUGGGUUUAGAACGUCGUGAGACAGUUCGGUCCCUAUCUGCCGUGGGCGCUGGAGAACUGAGGGGGGCUGCUCCUAGUACGAGAGGACCGGAGUGGACGCAUCACUGGUGUUCGGGUUGUCAUGCCAAUGGCACUGCCCGGUAGCUAAAUGCGGAAGAGAUAAGUGCUGAAAGCAUCUAAGCACGAAACUUGCCCCGAG